Molecule: ribosomal RNA, 278 nt
Filed under: uncultured bacterium
Lineage: Bacteria
Description: partial 16S ribosomal RNA
Rfam family: Bacterial small subunit ribosomal RNA
Source: RNAcentral
AACGAACGCUGGCGGCAUGCCUAACACAUGCAAGUCGAACGAUCCCUUCGGGGAUAGUGGCGCACGGGUGCGUAACGCGUGGGAAUCUGCCCUUGGGUUCGGAAUAACAGUGAGAAAUUACUGCUAAUACCGGAUGAUGUCUUCGGACCAAAGAUUUAUCGCCCAAGGAUGAGCCCGCGUAGGAUUAGCUAGUUGGUGGGGUAAUGGCCUACCAAGGCGACGAUCCUUAGCUGGUCUGAGAGGAUGAUCAGCCACACUGGGACUGAGACACGGCCCAG